UACGGAGGGGACUAGCGUUGUUCGGAAUUACUGGGCGUAAAGCGCACGUAGGCGGAUUUGUAAGUCAGGGGUGAAAUCCCGAGGCUCAACCUCGGAACUGCCUUUGAUACUGCGAAUCUCGAGUCCGGAAGAGGUGAGUUGAAUUCCUAGUGUAGAGGUGAAAUUCGUAGAUAUUAGGAAGAACACCAGUGGCGAAGGCGGCUCACUGGUCCGGUACUGACGCUGAGGUGCGAAAGCGUGGGGAGCAGACAGG
RNAcentral lists this ribosomal RNA (253 nucleotides) under uncultured bacterium. RNAcentral's name for it is "partial 16S ribosomal RNA". It matches the Rfam family "Bacterial small subunit ribosomal RNA", at positions 524 to 776 of the family's 1533-position model. The record is from RNAcentral.